GUGCUCACUUCGGAAGCAUAUAUUCUAAAAUUGGAACAAUACAGAGAAGAUUAGCAUGGCCCCAGUGCAAGGACACGCAAAUUCGUGAAGCGCUCCAGAUUUUU
Molecule: small nuclear RNA, 104 nt
Organism: Rhinolophus ferrumequinum (greater horseshoe bat)
Lineage: Eukaryota; Metazoa; Chordata; Mammalia; Chiroptera; Rhinolophidae
Source: Ensembl